This 226-nucleotide long non-coding RNA is filed under the name Amborella trichopoda. RNAcentral's name for it is "long non-coding RNA (ATRI_LNC003903)". The record is from RNAcentral. Lineage: Eukaryota; Viridiplantae; Streptophyta; Magnoliopsida; Amborellales; Amborellaceae.
GUGUGUGUGUGUGCGAGGACAUGGGCACACCUCACCCGAGCACGUGUGUAGGUCAGGCUCGCAGCUCGUUAUCUUUGUAUAAGCUUGGCUCGUAUGGGGAUCCUUUUUCGUUGAUGCAUGUGAGACAUCCAAUGGUCAUCUAGCCAUUGAUGAGAUGGAGGCUAGUAACAAUAGCAAUCAAAUGGUCAUCUAGCCAUUGAUGAGAUGGAGGCUAGUAACAAUAGCC